CCGGUCAGUCUAGUUGUUAUCGACGAUAUAACGUUACUACCACUAUGUCGCAGUUUUUUUACUAGGGGUCUUCAGGACUUGCCUCAAAUUAAUAUUAAUGAUGUACAUCAAAUUGUUAAAUCAGCCUCAGAGACUCCAGCUAGCAAGAAUGAAAAGGGGUUCAAGAUGUAUAUAGGAAGCUACAUAGACAACUAUGAAGGGUGUGAAACCAGGUCCGAUUGAUGGGAUAGAGUUCCGUAAACCUACUAACUCGUAUGCUGAUGGAAUAAGAAGUUCUCUCUACAAAGCACUCAAUGGAUACAUGCCUGACAUGGACCUUCUCCGCGUCUCAGAAACGUAUGCCAACUUUUCUCCACUUUACUGCCCCUCGUGACAACAAUGGAAAUGUCAGCUGACGUGCCCCUGGUUGAGUCUGCCUUUGGGCCAGUGCAAGCCAGCAGUGUUCUGUCCUAUCAGCUUCCACAGCCAAAGACCUGUUACAUUGUGAAGAUUGACAAUUCCACUUCUCCACCAAUACUUCCAUUAGAUGGCUACAGGCUUCAGGCUUCCCAGUGUGCUGAAGCCAUCAGGAGCAGUUACACCUCAAGGCAUUAGAGACAACCUACGAGAUGUCACACAAAGUCGAGGUUGCUACAAGGGAGCAGAGCAGCAGCCCAGAAUGGCAUCAGCUCAGGAAAAUAAGAAUAUCAUCCUCUCAUUUCCGAGAGGAUUGCCAUGUCCAGGGAGACACCUCAGGUGACCACCUAGCUGAGCGGAUGUUCAAGGGAUCUGGUAUGCAGACCAUGGAGAUGAAGGGGGCUAGCCAUGGAGCCAGUGGCUGUACAGGGAUCUGGAAUACAGACCAUGGAGAUGAAGAGGGCUAGCCAUGGAGCCAGUGGCUGUACAGGAGUACUGCACACUGAAGAAUGUUAACAUCUUUCCGUGUGGCUUCGCAGUGCACCCAGAUGCUCCGUGGUUAGGAUCCUCUCCAGAUGGAAUCAUAUUUGAUCCCAGUGUGAGACCAAACUUUGGACUCUUAGAGGUCAAGUGCCCAAAGGUACCAAGUUAUGUUGACGGCCCUUACCUGAAGAUACAGAAUGGAGAGCUGAAGUUGAAGAGAUCUCAUGCU
Non-coding RNA from Oncorhynchus mykiss (rainbow trout), 1108 nucleotides. NCBI's taxonomy places the organism in Eukaryota, Metazoa, Chordata, Actinopteri, Salmoniformes, Salmonidae. The record is from RefSeq and is a predicted model, not a curated record.